UACGGGGGGGAGCAAGCGUUGUUCGGAUUUACUGGGGCGUAAAGGGCGCGUAGGCGGUCGUGACAAGUCACUUGUGAAAUCUCCGGGGCUUAACUCGGAACGGUCAAGUGAUACUGUCGGACUAGAGUACAGAAGGGGCGAACUGGAAUUCUCGGUGUAGCGGUGAAAUGCGUAGAUAUCGGGAGGAACACCAGUGGCGAAGGCGGCGAUCUGGGAAGAUACGUGACGCUGAGGUGCGAAAGCGUGGGGAGCAA
This 254-nucleotide ribosomal RNA is filed under the name uncultured bacterium. Its description in RNAcentral is "partial 16S ribosomal RNA". It matches the Rfam family "Bacterial small subunit ribosomal RNA", at positions 524 to 771 of the family's 1533-position model. The record is from RNAcentral.